CCUGGACUCCUGUGGCUGUUUUAGUAACCAUCAUGGGGAUGGAAUCACAUCUUCCACUGGAAACACUGGGGUGACACAGAGAACCUUUGAAUACCGUGAGGAACCUCGGUGUAUGACCCUUCCACAAGCACUUUGAAUAUUCACUGGGAGCACACAGCAAAAUCCUCAUCAGUACAAGCUCUUCUAUGCACCCACAGCAGGUGCCAAUCCCUGGGAAUACCAAUGAUGCCAUUCUUAGGAAUCUGCAACCACAUGCCCCAGACACCGUUACAAUGGUUCCCCUUUAUCCUGAGGGCGAUGGAGGGCGUACAUCAGACACUGGAAGAACAUGCAAUGGUGAGAGGGCUGGCCAGAAAUGUCCAAGUGUACAAUCCACCGAACAGCGGGGACGUUGGCUGGACCCCGCCCCUGGCCAGUGCAGCAGUGCCGCGUGUGUGCGCUGCCCUGGCUGGCACGAGGCCCCCGGAACCUCGCCAGCGCUGAGAUCGGGAGGCGGCAAGAGGCCAGGAGGGAAGUGAGCGGUGUCGGAAGGCGAUAAGCCAAAUGAAGAAGAGACUCGCUAAGUUCGCGAGCUGGGUGGGCUUCAGCAUCCAUCAGAGAGAGCGCAGGAAUGGUGAGAACCCGGUUCCUGGGUAUCCCGUCCAUAAGCGCGAUCUCAAGAAGUUCCACAAAGCCGCGUAUUUUGGCGAUCUGGACACGUUGGAAGUGUUGCUGAUACGUAAGAAGAA
Molecule: non-coding RNA, 728 nt
Organism: Vicugna pacos (alpaca)
Lineage: Eukaryota; Metazoa; Chordata; Mammalia; Artiodactyla; Camelidae
Source: RefSeq, a predicted model, not a curated record